GAUGAACGCUAGCGGCAGGCUUAACACAUGCAAGUCGAGGGGUAUAGUUCUUCGGAACUAGAGACCGGCGCACGGGUGCGUAACGCGUAUGCAAUCUACCUUUCACAAAGGGAUAGCCCAGAGAAAUUUGGAUUAAUACCUUAUAGUAAUACGACUUGGCAUCAAGAUGUAUUUAAAGAUUUAUCGGUGAAAGAUGAGCAUGCGUCCCAUUAGCUUGUUGGUAAGGUAACGGCUUACCAAGGCUACGAUGGGUAGGGGUCCUGAGAGGGAGAUCCCCCACACUGGUACUGAGACACGGACCAGACUCCUACGGGAGGCAGCAGUGAGGAAUAUUGGACAAUGGGCGCAAGCCUGAUCCAGCCAUGCCGCGUGCAGGAUGACGGUCCUAUGGAUUGUAAACUGCUUUUGACAGGAAGAACAUACUUCGUGAAGUAGCUUGACGGUACUGUAAGAAUAAGGAUCGGCU
This 466-nucleotide ribosomal RNA is filed under the name uncultured bacterium. Its description in RNAcentral is "bacterial SSU rRNA". It matches the Rfam family "Bacterial small subunit ribosomal RNA", at positions 28 to 498 of the family's 1533-position model. The record is from RNAcentral.